RNAcentral lists this long non-coding RNA (208 nucleotides) under Gossypium barbadense (sea-island cotton). RNAcentral describes it as "long non-coding RNA (GBAR_LNC011120)". The record is from RNAcentral. Lineage: Eukaryota; Viridiplantae; Streptophyta; Magnoliopsida; Malvales; Malvaceae.
UUUGUAAUUUGGGCCCGUGCAAAUUGGGUUAUUACAGUUGCCCCUCUUUGCUUAUUUUUGUGUAACGGGAAUGAAGCAAAGACUUUUAAGAAGGACCAACUUUGCCCAGUUUCGCCAAAUCUCGACUCUACAAGUAGCCUCUCUUUAACCCACUACAAUUUCGGAGGAUAGAAUUCGUCGCUUCAACCUACUCCAUUGCAACUUUAGG